This 499-nucleotide ribosomal RNA is filed under the name uncultured bacterium. RNAcentral describes it as "partial 16S ribosomal RNA". It matches the Rfam family "Bacterial small subunit ribosomal RNA", at positions 899 to 1397 of the family's 1533-position model. The record is from RNAcentral.
ACUCAAAGGAAUAGACGGGGGCCCGCACAAGCGGUGGAGGAUGUGGUUUAAUUCGACGCAACGCGAAGAACCUUACCUGGGCUUGACAUCCCGCGACCGCUCCAGAGAUGGAGUUUCCUCUUCGGAGGCGCGGAGACAGGUGCUGCAUGGCUGUCGUCAGCUCGUGUCGUGAGAUGUUGGGUUAAGUCCCGCAACGAGCGCAACCCUUGUCCUUAGUUGCCAUCGGGUUAAGCCGGGCACUCUAGGGAGACUGCCGGUGACAAGCCGGAGGAAGGUGGGGAUGACGUCAAGUCCUCAUGGCCUUUAUGCCCAGGGCCACACACGUCCUACAAUGGCGCGUACAAAGAGCAGCGAGCCGGCGACGGUGAGCGAAUCUCAAAAAGCGCGUCUCAGUUCGGAUUGCAGUCUGCAACUCGACUGCAUGAAGGUGGAAUCGCUAGUAAUCGCGCAAAAGUAUGGCGCGGUGAAUACGUUCCCGGGCCUUGUACACACCGCCCGU